This is a long non-coding RNA of Clupea harengus (Atlantic herring), 1378 nucleotides long. The record is from Ensembl. Lineage: Eukaryota; Metazoa; Chordata; Actinopteri; Clupeiformes; Clupeidae.
UCCGCUAAGAAAAAAUAGUUCUUCACACAAAUAGAACUUAAAAUGUUCAGGUGUUGCUUAGCAACCCAUUACUUGCUGACUUCAAGUAACAAUGACUUUCCGUUACAUUAAAUGACCGGACUACUUGUGGAAUGAUAUGAAAGAGAAUUAGAAGCACAAAACCCAUUGCCAAUGACCCGUUGCCAAUGAUAUCUUUUCGCAGCCCAUUCAAAUCAACUGACCUUUUUGGAACAUUCUGAAGAGCCGUAAAAUAAAUUUAGGAUAACAGCCUUCUUCCUGUGGUGGGAAUUUGUUUAUGUCGUAGCUGUGACAAGGCGAUUACAGGUGGCAAACUGGCAUCAUGGAGGAAGUUAAAAAGAAACUGUCAUCUGGAGAGUUUAAAACGCUACUAAACAAAGGGAAAUCUACUGUACACUCUUAGAAAAAAGGGUUCAUGGGGGUGCUAUAUAGAACCAUGGGGGUCUUAGCCAAGGAGAUAGAACCCUUUUGCCUAAAAAGGGUGCUAUUUCAUACACGUGAGGGUUAUUUGAACUUCAACGACCGUUUAUGGAACCUUUCUGAAGACGUUAAUUCUUCACUGGAUUUAACGAACAGGAAAUUGAUGGAGACUACUGGGCCUCACUGAACGGAUGGUUGAAGAACUAUCCCCGUCUAUGAAAUUGCAGGUGAUGUUUGUGAAGGAACUGAACUAGCUCCUAGAACAACAUGAAGUUGGAUUGCCCCUGGACCAUGCUGACAAUUGUUACCAUAGGCAUAGGCAAAAGACUGUCCUGUCUAGACUGUCCUGUGCCAGUGUUGAGAAUGAUGCUUCGACAAAGACCAUGCUCGUCUUCUUUGACCCAACCAUGGCCAACAGUAUUCAGUCUGCCCACCUUCCCCCCAGAAAAAGUACCCAAACCAUAAAAAAUAUACAGAUGUUCUGGGAUCUCAUCACCAGAUUUCCGUUUCUUGGAGAACACAGCUCCUCUGGAGACCCUACUUGAGUGUCUGAGGAACAAAAUAAAAAAAGAAAGGUCACCUUUAGGCAACUUGACGUCCAGGAAAUUAAGAGAAAGUUUGGUGCUGGAGGAAACAGAAUUGUGGACCAUGUGCCUCUGGAGGAACCACCUGGACAUCAGAGAGAAAAUAAGUGCAGAUUGGAAAACGCAGUCCAGAUGCUUUCUGGGAAUUAUCCAACACAAGAGGAACCACCCAACUCAUUUCCGGUCAUCAGCCUCCACGAUGCAGACUCCCCUCCUUGCCAGGAGAGCAUCCAUUAUGAUGGAUGGCAUCACCAUUAUAAGCGGCGAGAUGGAUGUGGCACAUGCCAUUCAAUGUCUGCUGGAGAUGUACUUCGUCAUUGGUGUGGAGUACCCCCGGCAGAUCAAGCAUACCCUUA